This is a long non-coding RNA of Bos taurus (domestic cattle), 497 nucleotides long. The record is from Ensembl. Lineage: Eukaryota; Metazoa; Chordata; Mammalia; Artiodactyla; Bovidae.
AGGGUGGAAAAGGCAAAGGGCUCAGUCCUGGAGCACAGAGCUCGAGAUCUGGAGAAGCAGAGAGACCAGACUGACCACAACUGGCAGAUUGAGAGCGAGUGCCAAGAAGUGAAACCAAGAAGUCUGGGGCCAAGAAGUCAUCCCAGCAUAAGCAAAAGGAGUUGCCCGGAACCAACUGACGGAGAGGAAAGGAGGAGCUGAGAGCAUCAGAUUCAGGCAGGCUACUUCUUCAUGAGUCUACCCAUCUCUCACUCUGGGCAGCCAGCACAGCCUAAGCAAAGCCGACAAGUGUGAUGAAACCUACUUCCUACCCUUUGAUUGCGCUGGAUGGCUAACCAAAAGACCAGGACUCUGGUCUCAACCCUGCCAUUGACUCACGGGGUAUCUGGGGCUUGGGUAAGGCUGCUUACAUCUACAGACCUGUUUCUUCAUCUGAUAAAUGAAGUGGUUGGGCAGUUGAUUGAUUGACUUGGAACCUCAUGUCAAGGCUAAGUGAG